Molecule: ribosomal RNA, 207 nt
Filed under: uncultured bacterium
Lineage: Bacteria
Description: partial 16S ribosomal RNA
Rfam family: Bacterial small subunit ribosomal RNA
Source: RNAcentral
CGCGCAGGCGGUCGUUCAAGUCGAGUGUGAAAGCCCCCGGCUCAACUGGGGAGGGUCAUUCGAUACUGAUCGACUCGAAGACAGGAGAGGGUAGUGGAAUUCCCGGUGUAGUGGUGAAAUGCGUAGAUAUCGGGAGGAACACCAGUGGCGAAGGCGACUACCUGGCCUGUUCUUGACGCUGAGGCGCGAAAGCUAGGGGAGCAAACG